AUAGUAUUACCUCCGUCCGAAAUUAGUUGUCUUGGAUUUGUCCAGAUACAGAUGUAUCUACAGAUGUAUCUAACACUUAAAUUGUGUCUAGAUACAUCUGUAUGACAAAUCUAAGACAACUAAUUUGGGACGGAGAGAGUAUCAA
Hordeum vulgare subsp. vulgare (domesticated barley) is the source of this 145-nucleotide non-coding RNA. The record is from Rfam. NCBI's taxonomy places the organism in Eukaryota, Viridiplantae, Streptophyta, Magnoliopsida, Poales, Poaceae.